UGUUUUUUGAAAAUAUAUAAAAAAUAAAUCUCCUGCCCAAUGUAAAAUAAAUGGCUGCGGUAUCCUAACCGUACAAAGGUAGCAUAAUAAAUUGCCCAUUAAUUGUGGGAUAGAAUGAAUGGAAUAAUGAGAAAGAAACUGUCCCAUAAGUAAAAAAGAAAACUAACAUUCUAGUGAAGAGGCUAAAAUUAAAUUAUAGGACAAGAAGACCCUAUAGAGCUUAAAUUAAAAUAUUAAACUAAUAUCUCCAUUUAGGUUGGGGCGACCAAAAAUAAAAACACUUAAAAUUUAAAGAUUUACAAAUCUAAAAUAAAGAUCCUAAAAAGAUCAUAGCACAAAGUUACCUUAGGGAUAACAGGCUAAUCCUAUUAAAGAGUCCAUAUCUACAAUAGGGAUUGGCACCUCGAUGUUGGCUUAGAAAAUCUCUAUAAACGCAACAGUUAUAAAAGUAGGUUUGUUCAACCUAUAAUAUUCU
This 475-nucleotide ribosomal RNA is filed under the name Marionina sp. I LM-2012. Its description in RNAcentral is "partial 16S ribosomal RNA". It matches the Rfam family "Bacterial large subunit ribosomal RNA", at positions 1819 to 2597 of the family's 2925-position model. Lineage: Eukaryota; Metazoa; Annelida; Clitellata; Enchytraeida; Enchytraeidae. The record is from RNAcentral.